Long non-coding RNA from Rana temporaria (common frog), 804 nucleotides. RefSeq lists it as uncharacterized. The record is from RefSeq and is a predicted model, not a curated record. The transcript is spliced from 3 exons. NCBI's taxonomy places the organism in Eukaryota, Metazoa, Chordata, Amphibia, Anura, Ranidae.
AAUUGACAUGUGCUGCUUUCUAUGUGCAGAUACAGUUUCCAUUUUUCUUUCCCCUUUCUUUUCCCUCCCUUUUUGUUUCCUCUUUUUAUCUUAAAUAUCAUGUGCACCGUCUCUUCACUCACACUAGUGACACUAAACACACUAUUAUAUAUUAUACCCAAUGGAUCAUUAACGGGGCCUUUUUCUUCCAGUUUACUACUGGGGAUGAAUUCCCCUUUAUAACCGCUAGAUGGCAGCCCCAGCAUCAAUAUUAAUCAUCACAGCUAAGCCAUGCUAAAAAUCCCAAUUCAUCAUUGUGUGCCUAAUAUUCAUUGGGUGUUUGUGCCGUGAUGGCUAUUCUUGUGCGUUUUCUGUUUGGGCAUGGGGAAUUUUUGCUUUGUGCCCUGAACUUUGUGGGCCGUUUUGGGCGAUAUACCAUACUAGUCCGCCUCAGUGGGAUCUCUAUUUAUGCGCCGCACUAUCGAAACGGCGCGCAUCUAUGACGUCAUCACGUUAUACGUCCAUGUGAUCCCACAGCCUAUAUAAACCUGAUGCUCAUGCAAUGGCGCUGUGUCACCGUGUGUACACCCUGGGACACAGACGCAUUGCUGCUGCAAUCAGUUAUAGGGCCUGUACAAAAGCCCCAUACAAAGGCUGCUACAGAAAGGGUUUCUCUAUGUAAGCCCCUCCACAUUGCUGUUAUACUGCCAUCUGUUGUCCCAGUGUGCUCAGGACUUCAUAAAAAUAGUCCGAGUAUUAACUCUUCCUGUGGUACAUAUCUUCCACCUUUUGGACUUGCAGUCUUGACUCUUUCGACUCACCUAA